Molecule: ribosomal RNA, 501 nt
Filed under: uncultured Pseudomonas sp.
Lineage: Bacteria; Pseudomonadati; Pseudomonadota; Gammaproteobacteria; Pseudomonadales; Pseudomonadaceae
Description: bacterial SSU rRNA
Rfam family: Bacterial small subunit ribosomal RNA
Source: RNAcentral
GCCAGCCCGCUCAGAACUAAAGAAUUGACGGGGCCCGCACAAGCGGUGGAGCAUGUGGUUUAAUUCGAUGCAACGCGAAGAACCUUACCUGGUCUUGACAUCCCGGAGACCCUUAGGAAACUAGGGGUGCUUCCAUCUGGAAGAAUCUGGAGACAGGUGCUGCAUGGUUGUCGUCAGCUCGUGCCGUGAGGUGUCGGGUUAAGUCCCGUAACGAGCGCAACCCUUGUCCUUAGUUACCAGCACGUUAUGGUGGGCACUCUAAGGAGACUGCCGGUGACAAACCGGAGGAAGGUGGGGAUGACGUCAAGUCAUCAUGGCCCUUACGGCCUGGGCUACACACGUGCUACAAUGGUCGGUACAAAGGGUUGCCAAGCCGCGAGGUGGAGCUAAUCCCAUAAAACCGAUCGUAGUCCGGAUCGCAGUCUGCAACUCGACUGCGUGAAGUCGGAAUCACUAGUAAUCGUGAAUCAGAAUGUCACGGUGAAUACGUUCCCGGGCCUU